AUGGGACAAGUUCCUCAGCCUCCAGGGAGGAGUGAAAGGUGCCCAGCCUCAGGAAGGGCCAAGAGAUAUAAAAAUGUCAAACUCCAGGAGUUUCUACAUGUUCUCAUCAGUGUGGUGAGAGGUGAGCCAAGACUGAUGGCACAGUCCGCCUCAGGUCUGCAUUUAUGUAUAGAGCACAAAAUGGUAGAUGGAUUGAUGGAUAAGAUCAGAAUUCAUAAUAAUGGGAAAGAGAAAUGGAUUGAGAAUCAGAAAGCCUGGGCACUUUUAGCUGAGAAAAAAAGACAAUUGCCUACAUAGAAUCCAGAGUUUCAUCUUCCACUCAAUUCAGUAACUCAAAGGGAGUAAAAAAAUUAAUUUAAGAAGCCUGUGUGUGGCACUCUGUUAUACUGACUUCAGAUUUACCUUAAGCAUUUGUUUCUGAGCCAACAUGAGCAUAUGGACUCCAGUCUCCUCACUGGGUUGUGAGGAUCUUAUCGAGAUGCGUGAUCUACAGGGCACAUCACACAUGAGGUGUUCUGUUUGCAAAUUCACUUCUUCGUGUGGUGAAGCUAUAUUUGAAGCAUACUCACAUAUAACAUGGAGAAGGCAAUGGCAACCCACUCCAGUACUCUUGCCUGGAAAAUCACAUGGACGGUGGGGCCUGGUGGGCUGCAGUCCAUGGGGUCACUAGGAGUCGGACAUGACUGAGCAACUUCACUUUCUCUUUUCACUUUCAUGCAUUGGAGAAGGAAAUGGCAAGCCACUCCAGUGUUCUUGCCUGGAGAAUCCCAGGGAUGGGGGAGCCGUCUAUGGGGUUGCACAGAGUUGGACACGACUGAAGAGACUUAGCAGCAGCAGCGCAUAUAACAUAGAUGUGAGAAUCUUAAUUCCUGUGAAUUUUAAAAAGCUGGCUCUUGAAAUUUUGUGACCUAAUUUGCAAGCAGGGUUCAGUUCAGUCGCUCAGUCAUGUCCGAGUCUGCGACCCCAUGGACUGCAGCACACCAGGCCUCCCUGUCCAUCACCAACUGCCAGAGUUUACUCAAAUUCAUGUCCAUUGAGUCAGUGAUGCCAUCCAACCAUCUCAUCCUCUGUCGUCCCCUUCUCCUGCCUUCAAUCUUUGAAAAGAUUGAAGAGAAAAUCAAAGAAGAGAAACCAUUACAAAGAUAUGUGAAACUAUGAAAAGAUGAUAAACAGAUUCAAAAUUCAUGCCACGUGAAAGACACAGAACUGAAGACCUGCGCCUUGCCUGUACUCCCCCUCCUUUCCCCAGAGAAGAUAUGAGAUGGACUCACUCUUCUCAUCUUUAAA
Bos indicus x Bos taurus (hybrid cattle) is the source of this 1287-nucleotide long non-coding RNA. Lineage: Eukaryota; Metazoa; Chordata; Mammalia; Artiodactyla; Bovidae. The record is from Ensembl.